This 305-nucleotide ribosomal RNA is filed under the name uncultured bacterium. Its description in RNAcentral is "bacterial SSU rRNA". It matches the Rfam family "Bacterial small subunit ribosomal RNA", at positions 337 to 659 of the family's 1533-position model. The record is from RNAcentral.
GCCUACGGGGGGCAGCAGUAGGGAAUAUUGCUCAAUGGGGGAAACCCUGAAGCAGCAACGCCGCGUGGAGGAUGAAGGUUUUCGGAUUGUAAACUCCUUUUGUUAGAGAAGAUAAUGACGGUAUCUAACGAAUAAGCACCGGCUAACUCCGUGCCAGCAGCCGCGGUAAUACGGAGGGUGCAAGCGUUACUCGGAAUCACUGGGCGUAAAGAGCGCGUAGGCGGGAUAGCAAGUCAGAUGUGAAAUCCUAUGGCUUAACCAUAGAACGGCAUAUGAAACUGUUAUUCGAGAGGAUGGGAGAGGAA